GACGAACGCUGGCGGCGUGCUUAACACAUGCAAGUCGAACGGAAAGGCCCUGCUUUUGUGGGCUGCUCGAUUGGCGAUGGGGUGCGUAACAGGUAUGUAACCUGCCCUAGACUUUGGGGUAGCUUCAGGUAACUGGGGCUAAUACCAGAUAGCAGCUCAUGCUGCAUGGUGGGGGUUGGAAAGUUGCGGCGGGUGGGGAUGGACUCGCGGCUUAUCGGCUAGCUGGUGGGGUAGUGGCUUACCAAGGCAUGGACGGGUCGCCGGCCUGGGAGGGGGAACAGGCACAUGGGGCCUGAGGGAGGGCCCAGAGGGGAACGUGGGGCAGCGGUGGGAAACAUGGCACAAUCGGCGGAAGCCGGAGACAGCGACGUCGCGUGCGGGAUGACGGUCUUCGGGGAAUAAACCGCUUCCGCCUGUGACGAAGCGUGUGUGACGGUAAUGGAUAAAGAAGCACCGGCUAACUACGUG
RNAcentral lists this ribosomal RNA (468 nucleotides) under uncultured bacterium. Its description in RNAcentral is "partial 16S ribosomal RNA". It matches the Rfam family "Bacterial small subunit ribosomal RNA", at positions 28 to 507 of the family's 1533-position model. The record is from RNAcentral.